CCCCCCGUGGCCCUGUCUCCUUUCUUCAUGCCACCCCUUCUGGCAGCCACGUGCUUCUGCAGCAGGCCACAGAAGGCCUGUGAAGGGUCCCCUGGUCAGGCCAGCUGUGGCCAGGGAGAGGAGCAGGGGCCCGUGGAAGGAGAGAGAGCCUUCCAGCGCUGACAGUCAGGGAGCACACAGCCACCUCCGAGGGGUGGGAACUGCACCGGGCCUUCAACCCCAGGGAAUCAGAAAGACAGAGAAAAGAAGCCUUCUAGUCCAGGCACAGAGAUGUUCUCAGGGCCCGCUGGAACAACUUACGGAAUUUUAUAUCUCUACGUGAGAAGCUGUACAGAAGGAAAAUCUGUCCGAGUUACACAGCAAUGAUACUUGACUACUAAAUCUUUUAUGAACAUCCUGUAUAACUGUGUUUAAAUAAAUCAUGGACAUUUUUAUAUGACA
This is a long non-coding RNA of Leopardus geoffroyi (Geoffroy's cat), 441 nucleotides long. RefSeq lists it as uncharacterized. The transcript has 2 exons. The record is from RefSeq and is a predicted model, not a curated record. Lineage: Eukaryota; Metazoa; Chordata; Mammalia; Carnivora; Felidae.